Molecule: long non-coding RNA, 293 nt
Filed under: Lathyrus oleraceus (garden pea)
Lineage: Eukaryota; Viridiplantae; Streptophyta; Magnoliopsida; Fabales; Fabaceae
Description: Pisum sativum (pea) long non-coding RNA (PSAT_LNC008485)
Source: RNAcentral
UUGAUUUUAGUAUUUUUGAAAGAUUAAUCUUAAGGGUCAUUUUAUCUUUUUGGAUGAACAAUUAUGUAUCAACUAAAAAUACAAUAAAACAAACUAAAAAAUAAAGCAAUAAUAAAAAAAGAAGAUAAAAGAAAUAAUAAAAGGGAGGGGGCACACUAUCAAUACAAGAGGUAAAAUAAUUAAAACAUUAAAGAAAAUAAAAUAAAAAACAAAAAUAAAGUAAUAAAGUAAUAAUAAGAAAACAAUAAAUAAAAAAAAUAUACAAAAGACAAAAACAUACUGAAAAUUGGGGG